This 777-nucleotide ribosomal RNA is filed under the name uncultured Neocallimastigales. RNAcentral's name for it is "partial large subunit ribosomal RNA". It matches the Rfam family "Eukaryotic large subunit ribosomal RNA", at positions 23 to 630 of the family's 3401-position model. Lineage: Eukaryota; Fungi; Neocallimastigomycota; Neocallimastigomycetes; Neocallimastigales. The record is from RNAcentral.
GAGACUCUGUGCGCGUGCAUAUCAAUAAGCGGAGGAAAAGAAACUAACUAGGAUUCCCCUAGUAACGGCGAGUGAAGCGGGAAGAGCUCAAAUUUGAGAUCUUAAAGGUUUCCCUUGACGAAUUGUAGUUUAAAGAAGUGUUUUCUGUUGGAGUUUCGGUAAAAGUUCUUUGGAAUAGGACAUCAUAGAGGGUGAGAAUCCCGUAUUUGACCGUUACUUUCCAGCUGUGUGAUACACUUUCAAAGAGUCGGAUUGUUUGGGAAUGCAGUCCAAAAUGGGUGGUAAAUCUCAUCUAAAGCUAAAUAUUGGCGAGAGACCGAUAGCGAACAAGUACCGUGAGGGAAAGAUGAAAAGAACUUUGAAAAGAGAGUUAAACAGUACGUGAAAUUGUCAAAAGGGAAGCGUUUGACACCAGUGUUGUUUAGUUGAAAAUCAAUUCAAUAAUCUUUGAUUUUAAGUAGUAGUUGACUUCAUCAGCUUGCUGCUUUCUUUUCAGGAAUUAUUGAAUGCACUUUUCAGUUAACAAGUCAACAUCAAUUUCUUUUGUUGUAAAAGGGUAAGAGGAAGGUGGCUUACGCUUCGGCGUAAGUGUUUAUAGCCUUUUACCUCUGCAAUCGGAGAGAUUGAGGACAGCAGCGUAGACUCUUCGGGGUUAGAUACACUUGUGCUAAGCUAUAGCCUUAGUAUAGACAACUUGUUGACUAUGCUCAGUCAUGUAGCUUACUCGCUUGAUGCUAUUUUACCUACGCUUAGGAUGUUGAGUCGUAGAGCACGCAG